GUGGGGAAUCUUGCACAAUGGGCGAAAGCCUGAUGCAGCGACGCCGCGUGGGGGAUGAAGCUUUUCGGAGUGUAAACCCCUUUCGACCCGGACGAAUACCUCGCAAGAGGGGUGACGGUACGGGUAUAAGAAGCCCCGGCUAACUACGUGCCAGCAGCCGCGGUAAGACGUGGGGGGCCAGCGUUGUUCGGAAUUACUGGGUGUAAAGGGUCAGUAGGCGGUGUGGCAAGUCGGGAGUGAAAUCUCUGGGCUCAACCCAGAGACUGCUUCCGAAACUGCUGUGCUAGAGUGUGGGAGAGGCGCGUGGAAUUGCAGGUGUAGCGGUGAAAUGCGUAGAUAUCUGCAGGAACACCCGUGGCGAAAGCGGCGCGCUGGACCACAACUGACGCUGAAUGACGAAAGCUAGGGGAGCAAACAGGAUUAGAAACCCCUGUAGUCC
This 439-nucleotide ribosomal RNA is filed under the name uncultured bacterium. RNAcentral describes it as "bacterial SSU rRNA". It matches the Rfam family "Bacterial small subunit ribosomal RNA", at positions 354 to 796 of the family's 1533-position model. The record is from RNAcentral.